RNAcentral lists this ribosomal RNA (446 nucleotides) under uncultured bacterium. Its description in RNAcentral is "partial 16S ribosomal RNA". It matches the Rfam family "Bacterial small subunit ribosomal RNA", at positions 338 to 795 of the family's 1533-position model. The record is from RNAcentral.
CCUACGGGGGGCUGCAGUCGAGAAUCUUUCACAAUGGGGGAAACCCUGAUGGUGCGACGCCGCGUGGGGGAAUGAAGGUCUUCGGAUUGUAAACUCCUGUCAUGUGGGAGCAAAUUAAAAAGAUAGUACCACAAGAGGAAGAGACGGCUAACUCUGUGCCAGCAGCCGCGGUAAUACAGAGGGCUCAAGCGUUGUUCGGAAUCACUGGGCGUAAAGGGUGCGGAGGCGGUUUCGUAAGUCGUGUGUGAAAGGCGCGGGCUUAACCCGCGGACGGCACAUGAGACUGCGAGACUAGAGUAAUGGAGGGGGAACCGGAAUGCUCGGUGUAGCAGUGAAAUGCGUAGAUAUCGAGAGGAACACUCGUGGCGAAGGCGGGUUCCUGGACAUUAACUGACGCUGAGGCACGAAGGCCAGGGGAGCGAAAAGGAUUAGAUACCCUAGUAGUC